Molecule: ribosomal RNA, 545 nt
Filed under: uncultured Gigasporaceae
Lineage: Eukaryota; Fungi; Glomeromycota; Glomeromycetes; Diversisporales; Gigasporaceae
Description: SSU rRNA
Rfam family: Eukaryotic small subunit ribosomal RNA
Source: RNAcentral
UUGGAGGGCAAGUCUGGUGCCAGCAGCCGCGGUAAUUCCAGCUCCAAUAGCGUAUAUUAAAGUUGUUGCAGUUAAAAAGCUCGUAGUUGAAUUUCGGGGUUCUACCGUUGGUCGGGCAAUAGUCUGUACUGGCGUGUAGAAUUUCUACCUUCUGGGGAACUAUCAUGUUAUUUAUUUAGCGUGGUAGGAAACCAGGACCUUUACCUUGAAAAAAUUAGAGUGUUCAAAGCAGGCUUACGUCUGAAUACAUUAGCAUGGAAUAAUAAAAUAGGACGGUGGUCCUGUUUUGUUGGUUUCUGAAUCACCGUAAUGAUUAAUAGGGAUAGUUGGGGGCAUUAGUAUUCAAUUGUCAGAGGUGAAAUUCUUGGAUUUAUUGAAGACUAACUUCUGCGAAAGCAUUUGCCAAGGAUGUUUUCAUUAAUCAAGAACGAAAGUUAGGGGAUCGAAGACGAUCAGAUACCGUCGUAGUCUUAACCAUAAACUAUGCCGACUAGGGAUCGGACGGUGUUAAUUUUUCUUGACUCGUUCGGCACCUUACGGGAAAC